AACUUUCAAAAUCCUUACCCAUCAGAUCCGAGCAUUGGUCUGAGUGGCUAUAAACGGAGGAGGAGGAAAUGUGAAACCGACUUGGAUUCUUUUGUGACAUACAACUUAGUUCCACACAAAC
RNAcentral lists this small nucleolar RNA (121 nucleotides) under Echinops telfairi (small Madagascar hedgehog). Its description in RNAcentral is "Small nucleolar RNA SNORA61 (ENSETEG00000025417.1)". Lineage: Eukaryota; Metazoa; Chordata; Mammalia; Afrosoricida; Tenrecidae. The record is from RNAcentral.